AACCGAUAUGUCCAAAUGGAGGA
This 23-nucleotide small nuclear RNA is filed under the name Arabidopsis thaliana (thale cress). Its description in RNAcentral is "snRNA_11061". Lineage: Eukaryota; Viridiplantae; Streptophyta; Magnoliopsida; Brassicales; Brassicaceae. The record is from RNAcentral.